GCCCCUAUAGCUCAGUGGUAGAGCGUCAGUCUUGUAAAGUGAAGGUCUGCAUGGGGGCA
Transfer RNA from Oryza sativa (Asian cultivated rice), 59 nucleotides. It matches the Rfam family "tRNA". From Rfam's summary of the family: Transfer RNA (tRNA) molecules are approximately 80 nucleotides in length. Their secondary structure includes four short double-helical elements and three loops (D, anti-codon, and T loops). The record is from Rfam. Lineage: Eukaryota; Viridiplantae; Streptophyta; Magnoliopsida; Poales; Poaceae.